AUUGAACGCUAGCGGGAUGCCUUACACAUGCAAGUCGAACGGAGUGGCGAACGGGUGAGUAAUGUAUCGGAACGUGCCCAGUAGCGGGGGAUAACUACGCGAAAGCGUAGCUAAUACCGCAUACUAUUGGAGCGGCCGAUAUUGGAGUAGCUAGUUGGUGGGGUAACGGCUCACCAAGGCGACGAGCCGUAGCUGGUUUGAGAGGAAGACCAGCAAAACUGGGGCUGAGAAGCGGCCCAAACUCCUACGGGAGGCAGCAGUGGGGAAUUUUUGGCAAUGGGGGAAACCCUGGUCCAGCCAUCCCGGGUGUGCGAUGAGGGCCUUCGGGUUGUAAAGCACUUUUGGCAGGAAAGCGGUACCUGCAGAAUAAGCACCGGCUAACUACGUGCCAGCAGCCGCGGUAAUUC
RNAcentral lists this ribosomal RNA (407 nucleotides) under uncultured bacterium. RNAcentral describes it as "partial 16S ribosomal RNA". It matches the Rfam family "Bacterial small subunit ribosomal RNA", at positions 30 to 526 of the family's 1533-position model. The record is from RNAcentral.